This is a long non-coding RNA of Bactrocera neohumeralis, 869 nucleotides long. RefSeq lists it as uncharacterized. The record is from RefSeq and is a predicted model, not a curated record. The transcript is spliced from 3 exons. Lineage: Eukaryota; Metazoa; Arthropoda; Insecta; Diptera; Tephritidae.
CUAUUAUGCAUGUAAUAAUUGAUAAUCAAGAGUUGUGAAGGAUUUUAAAAGAGUUUGGAAUUUGCUAGAAUCGUGGAAAGCGAAAUUAAGGGCGAAUCAGCUGAAUUAGUCCAAUUGAGGAAUGCAAUGUAACAGUAAAAAUAUUAGCUACAAGUGGUAAUGGAAGUGAGCGCACGUAAUUUUUGUGUGAUUUCGCAAAUAUUUGUUAAAAUUUGUGAAAAGUAUUUGUUUAAAGUAUUAAAUUGUGUUUUUGUUUAAUUUAAAGUUAAAAUCUUUAUUAACUGCAAAAAAUAGUGUCGUGAAAGUCGUAAUGCGUUAAAUUCCUUGUGUAAAUUCUUUAAAUGCGUGUUCGGGUACGGGGCGUAUGUAUGUCAAUUUUAUAUUAUAUUACAGUAGAACAACAAGCGAAUAAGAAAAUUGUGAAAAUAUAUAUGUACAUAUAUUAUUGGCAACAUCAAAAGUGGAAUUUUAGCGCCUCUUAUAGUAAAUGGAAACAAAUGAGAACACAAAGGCUAUAAAAACAUAUUUGUUAUGGAAUCGCACAUAAGAUAUUAUAAAAAAUAGCGCGUAGUGUAAUAUUGCCAAGCCAACUUUAAAAGGCCUUCAUUGCGUGUAGCGAUUCACGUUUAAUAUCUUCAAUUGAAUCAAAACAUUUUCUCCGAAGCGGUCGUCUGAGUGUGCUGUAUACUCAGAAGUCACUUGACGCCAAAAUCAGGCGAAUACAGUGCCUGCGGCACGAUAUUGGUUGAAAUUUUGGCGAAAACUCACGAAGAAUGAAUGCAGUAUGCGUCAAUGCAUUAUCGUAGUUUUGGCCGGUCAUAAGGAAUUUGGAGUACACCACACAUCGAUAAUCGAAGCAAACUGCCAAC